GUAAAAUGAAGGGAAAAAAAAAAGUAGAUAAGGUGAUUGAUUUGAAUGUGAAGAAACAUGAAUAUUUUAGAAGAAUUUGAUGCAAAAUGAAGGAUUGCAUGAGAUCAUUUGCUAGCCUUCAAGUGGGAGAAUUACUUUAUUGCAGCUUUGCGUCCUUAUUGGAUAAAUUUUGUUCUUCAUCAUUGUUACAGAUCAGACCUGCACACCUUUGAAAGUCAAGAUAACCAAAGAAGAAAUAGAUUGGAUGAGAAAAGA
RNAcentral lists this unclassified non-coding RNA (255 nucleotides) under Hevea brasiliensis (rubber tree). The record is from RNAcentral. Lineage: Eukaryota; Viridiplantae; Streptophyta; Magnoliopsida; Malpighiales; Euphorbiaceae.